GACGAACGCUGGCUGCGUGCUUAACACAUGCAAGUCGAACGGUAAGGCCCUUCGGGGUACACGAGUGGCGAACGGGUGAGUAACACGUGGGUGAUCUACCCUGCACUUCGGGAUAAGCCUGGGAAGCUGGGUCUAAUACUGGAUAGGACCCUGGGGGGGAUGUCCUGGGGUGGAAAGCUUUUGCGGUGUGGGAUGGGCCCCCGGCCCAUCAGCUUGGUGGUGGGGUGAUGGCCUACCAAGGCGUCGACGGGUAGCCGGCCUGAGCGGGUGAACGGCCACACUGGGACUGAGAUACGGCCCAGACUCCUACGGGAGGCAGCAGUGGGGAAUAUUGCACAAUGGGCGCAAGCCUGAUGCAGCGACGCCGCGUGAGGGAUGACGGCCUUCGGGUUGUAAACCUCUUUCAGCACCGACGAAGCGCAAGUGACGGUAGGUGCAGAAGAAGGACCGGCCAACUACGUGCCAGCCGCCGCAGUAA
Molecule: ribosomal RNA, 478 nt
Filed under: uncultured bacterium
Lineage: Bacteria
Description: partial 16S ribosomal RNA
Rfam family: Bacterial small subunit ribosomal RNA
Source: RNAcentral